GACGAACGCUGGCGGCGUGCUUAACACAUGCAAGUCGAACGGAAAGGCCCUGCUUUUGUGGGGUGCUCAAGUGGCGAACGGGUGAGUAACACGUGAGUAACCUGCCCUUGACUUUGGGAUAACUUCAGGAAACUGGGGCUAAUACCGGAUAGGAGCUCCUGCUGCAUGGUGGGGGUUGGAAAGUUUCGGCGGUUGGGGAUGGACUCGCGGCUUAUCAGCUUGUUGGUGGGGUAGUGGCUUACCAAGGCUUUGACGGGUAGCCGGCCUGAGAGGGUGACCGGCCACAUUGGGACUGAGAUACGGCGCAGACUCCUACGGGAGGCAGCAGUGGGGAAUAUUGCACAAUGGGCGGAAGCCUGAUGCAGCAACGCCGCGUGCGGGAUGACGGCCUUCGGGUUGUAAACCGCUUUCGCCUGUGACGAAGCGUGAGUGACGGUAAUGGGUAAAGAAGCACCGGCUAACUACGUG
This 468-nucleotide ribosomal RNA is filed under the name uncultured bacterium. RNAcentral describes it as "partial 16S ribosomal RNA". It matches the Rfam family "Bacterial small subunit ribosomal RNA", at positions 28 to 507 of the family's 1533-position model. The record is from RNAcentral.